This 915-nucleotide ribosomal RNA is filed under the name uncultured archaeon. RNAcentral's name for it is "bacterial SSU rRNA". It matches the Rfam family "Archaeal small subunit ribosomal RNA", at positions 1 to 922 of the family's 1478-position model. The record is from RNAcentral.
UUCCGGUUGAUCCUGCCGGACCUGACUGCUAUCGGAUUGAUACUAAGCCAUGCGAGUCUUUGUAGUAAUACAAGGCAUACGGCUCAGUGACACGUAGUCAACCUACCCUAUGGACGAGAAUAAUCUCGGGAAACUGAGCAUAAUUCUUGAUAGAUCAUAAUGCCUGGAAUGGUUUAUGGUUAAAAUGAUUCGUCGCCAUAGGAUGGGACUGCGGCCUAUCAGCUUGUUGGUGAGGUAAUGGCCCACCAAGGCGAUUACAGGUACGGGCUCUGAGAGGAGAAGCCCGGAGAUGGGUACUGAGACACGGACCCAGGCCCUAUGGGGCGCAGCAGGCGAGAAAACUUUGCAAUGUGCGAAAGCACGACAAGGUUAAUCCGAGUGAUUUCUGCUAAAGAAAUCUUUUGCCAGUCGUAAAACCACUGGUGAAUAAGGGGUGGGCAAGUUCUGGUGUCAGCCGCCGCGGUAAAACCAGCACCUCAAGUGGUCAGGAUGAUUAUUGGGCCUAAAGCAUCCGUAGCCUGCUUUGUAAGUUUUCGGUUAAAUCCAUGUGCUCAACGCAUGGGCUGCCGAAAAUACUGCAUAGCUAGGGAGUGGGAGAGGUAGACGGUACUCAGUAGGUAGGGGUAAAAUCCUUUGAUCUAUUGAUGACCACCUGUGGCGAAGGCGGUCUACCAGAACACGUUCGACGGUGAGGGAUGAAAGCUGGGGGAGCAAACCGGAUUAGAUACCCGGGUAGUCCCAGCUGUAAACGAUGCAGACUCGAUGAUGCAUUGGCAUAAUAGCCAUUGCAGUGUCGCAGGGAAGCCGUUAAGUCUGCCGCCUGGGAAGUACGUACGCAAGUAUGAAACUUAAAGGAAUUGGCGGGGGAGCACCACAAGGGGUGAAGCCUGCGGUUCAAUUGGAAUCAACGCCGGA